This 467-nucleotide ribosomal RNA is filed under the name uncultured bacterium. RNAcentral's name for it is "partial 16S ribosomal RNA". It matches the Rfam family "Bacterial small subunit ribosomal RNA", at positions 28 to 507 of the family's 1533-position model. The record is from RNAcentral.
GACGAACGCUGGCGGCGUGCUUAACACAUGCCAGUCGAACGGAAAGGCCCUGCUUUUGUGGGGUGCUCGAGUGGCGAACGGGUGAGUAACACGUGAGUAACCUGCCCUUGACUUUGGGAUAACUUCAGGAAACUGGGGCUAAUACCGGAUAGGAGCUCCUGCUGCAUGGUGGGGGUUGGAAAGUUUCGGCGGUUGGGGAUGGACUCGCGGCUUAUCAGCUUGUUGGUGGGGUAGUGGCUUACCAAGGCUUUGACGGGUAGCCGGCCUGAGAGGGUGACCGGCCACAUUGGGACUGAGAUACGGCCCAGACUCCUACGGGAGGCAGCAGUGGGGAAUAUUGCACAAUGGGCGGAAGCCUGAUGCAGCAACGCCGCGUGCGGGAUGACGGCCUUCGGGUUGUAAACCGCUUUCGCCUGUGACGAAGCGUGAGUGACGGUAAUGGGUAAAGAAGCACCGGCUACUACGUG